This 951-nucleotide long non-coding RNA is filed under the name Zea mays. Its description in RNAcentral is "long non-coding RNA (ZMAY_LNC001913)". The record is from RNAcentral. Lineage: Eukaryota; Viridiplantae; Streptophyta; Magnoliopsida; Poales; Poaceae.
GUCCCCGUUCCCGUCAGCGCUCGGCAACGCCGCCGUGGCGCGGGCUGGGCCGAUGGCCGACGUCCAUCCGUCGCUCUCGCUGUACGCCUCGUCCGGUGCGGUCGUGGCUGGUAGUUGGCUGCUGCUCAUCGGCUUCGUUCCUCCCCUCCUCCUGCGCAAGUUUCACAUUCGGCCAUUGACUCGCACGAGAACAACCGGGUGAAGUUUGGUGGCGGGGUUAACCUAGCUAGCUGCUGCCAGCAGAACAAAACUUUUUGUUUUUGUUUGCCGUGGUGGCAUGGUCAAAGCUUGUCUCCGGGCUCCGCUCCGGCGGGCGCAUCCGGCGUGACUCUGUGGGGUUCCCCUCGGCCCACACACACUUUGUUCGUUGUGCUGCAGUACCAUGCAACCUGCGUUUGGUUCGCACUCGAUCAGGGUGAGGAUGGACGCUGCCUGAUUUUCUGUGUUCUGUGUGUGGUGUCUAUGGAGUAUAUGGACACGUCACGUCGUCGUCCGCGGGCAGUCGCAACAAACUACGGUUCGUUUUCUGGAACCAAAUUGUUACAAAAUAACAUAUUACAAAGUUAUAUGUGAUAUAGUGACCAAUCCAAGGGGCUCGACGAACACAUCCCCAAGGGACACACCCCUUGGUGACCCCUGUCACAUGUAUAUAAACAAGUCUUCCCUGCAAUAAAGGAUAUCGCUGUCAUUUGUAUUCUCUCUGUCUCUCUCGACUGAGUAGACUUUAACACGUUAUCAGCACUUUUGCUCGCGGGAGAACAGAUAGAAGUGGUUGUUGGCAGGAAGAAAAAAGGGCGCUCACUGUUGAAGAUAAUUGGAGGGUUCGAUCUCUAGAACAACAGGAAGGUACGCAACCUAUCGUUCCUCUCCGCGUUCGUCGCUUGCGUGAAGAACUUUGUGAUAACCAUCGUUCGUGGAAGCACGCAACUAUGCGGCCGCGACCGCUACGAC